UGCAUAUCAAUAAGCGCGGAGGAAAAGAAACCAACCGGGAUUGCCUCAGUAGCGGCGAGUGAAGCGGCAAGAGCUCAGAUUUGAAAUCGUGCUUUGCGGCACGAGUUGUAGAUUGCAGGUUGGAGUCUGUGUGGAAGGCGGUGUCCAAGUCCCUUGGAACAGGGCGCCCAGGAGGGUGAGAGCCCCGUGGGAUGCCGGCGGAAGCAGUGAGGCCCUUCUGACGAGUCGAGUUGUUUGGGAAUA
RNAcentral lists this ribosomal RNA (243 nucleotides) under uncultured Pichia. Its description in RNAcentral is "partial large subunit ribosomal RNA". It matches the Rfam family "Eukaryotic large subunit ribosomal RNA", at positions 37 to 282 of the family's 3401-position model. Lineage: Eukaryota; Fungi; Ascomycota; Saccharomycetes; Saccharomycetales; Saccharomycetaceae. The record is from RNAcentral.